AGCUUUGUGCAGUGGCAGUAUCAUAGUUCAUGAGGUUAAACUGAGACGUGAUUAUAGCUAAUUGAAAACUUUUCCCAAUGCCCUGCUGCACUGAUUUGAAAAAAAAAUAA
Molecule: small nuclear RNA, 110 nt
Filed under: Sphenodon punctatus (tuatara)
Lineage: Eukaryota; Metazoa; Chordata; Lepidosauria; Sphenodontia; Sphenodontidae
Description: U4 spliceosomal RNA (ENSSPUG00000001424.1)
Rfam family: U4 spliceosomal RNA
About the family: U4 small nuclear RNA (U4 snRNA) is a component of the major U2-dependent spliceosome. The structure of U4 snRNA from yeast and human has been reported.
Source: RNAcentral